GACGAACGCUGGCGGCGUGCCUAACACAUGCAAGUUGAGCGACGAACCAGGGCUUGCCCUGGGGCAAAGCAGCGAACGGGUGAGUAACACGUGGGUAACCUACCCCGAUAACCGGGACAUCCCGAGGAAACUCGGGCUAAUACCGGAUGUGCUCACUGGACUUCGGUUCAGUGCGUAAAGGAAGCUUCGGCCUCCGUAUCGGGAGGGGCCCGCGGCCCAUUAGUUUGUUGGUGAGGUAACGGCUCACCAAGGCCGCGAUGGGUAGCUGGUCUGAGAGGACGAUCAGCCACACUGGGACUGAGACACGGCCCAGACUCCUACGGGAGGCAGCAGUGGGGAAUCUUGCGCAAUGCGCGAAAGCGUGACGCAGCAACGCCGCGUGGGGGAAGAAGGCCUUCGGGUUGUAAACCCCUUUCAGGAGGGACGAAGGUUCGGCGGUGAAUAGCCGUCCGGACUGACGGUACCUCCACAAGAAGCCCCGGCUAACUACGUG
Molecule: ribosomal RNA, 493 nt
Filed under: uncultured bacterium
Lineage: Bacteria
Description: partial 16S ribosomal RNA
Rfam family: Bacterial small subunit ribosomal RNA
Source: RNAcentral